This 253-nucleotide ribosomal RNA is filed under the name uncultured bacterium. RNAcentral describes it as "partial 16S ribosomal RNA". It matches the Rfam family "Bacterial small subunit ribosomal RNA", at positions 524 to 776 of the family's 1533-position model. The record is from RNAcentral.
UACGGAGGGUGCAAGCGUUAAUCGGAAUUACUGGGCGUAAAGCGUGCGCAGGCGGUUUGUUAAGUCUGUUGUGAAAUCCCCGAGCUCAACUUGGGAAUUGCAAUGGAUACUGGCAGGCUCGAGUAUGGUAGAGGAAGGUGGAAUUCCCGGUGUAGCAGUGAAAUGCGUAGAGAUCGGGAGGAACACCAGUGGCGAAGGCGGCCUUCUGGACCAAUACUGACGCUCAUGCACGAAAGCGUGGGGAGCAAACAGG